GUUGACUACAGGUGUAAAACUCCUGGUGUGCACACAGGAUUUGGCAUCAGUGGCCAGGAGGGAAUAGAAACAGUUCUGGCCAAUGGCUUUGCCCAGCACUUCAGCAUCCUUAUUUAAAAAGGUGCCAGUACUUGUGUUAUUUCUUCCACGUAAUCUAUGCUUUCCCAUUUGUGGAUUUCUAGUUUAUCUUCUGUGAAUCCUCUGCUCAGGUGUAUGUGGAUAAGCACU
Long non-coding RNA from Lagopus leucura (white-tailed ptarmigan), 228 nucleotides. RefSeq lists it as uncharacterized. The transcript is spliced from 3 exons. NCBI's taxonomy places the organism in Eukaryota, Metazoa, Chordata, Aves, Galliformes, Phasianidae. The record is from RefSeq and is a predicted model, not a curated record.